GUCGUUUCUGUUUUUCCUUUUUUUUUCCCCUCUAUUUUAUUUCUUUCGUUUGCAUCACAGACUCUGUUUGCAUCGUGGUUUCUUUGCAUGCUCGUGCUACAUCCGACUCGCGAGUUUAUGAAAAGCAGUUUCUAAUAAGAUAAAGAAACAGUCCAGAUAAUAGUAAUCUGGACGAAAAUACCAAGUGUAAUCAUUUGAGAGCCAACUCGAUGACAUGAUUGUUGUGGUAGCAAAAUACAGCCUCCAUUUCCAAGACCACUCUGUUGGAAACUCAGUGUCAAUCAUCACACCUGUCAAUCAACAUUGCCAAUGCUAUCUUUCGAGCUGAAUGAAACCCAGCAACUUGCAGCUUGGUGAAAAUACGUCGAAACUUGAAACGAUAAUCCUCAAUGAACGCCUCCUAUGAAUUUCCCUUCAGAUUUUCCUCGUGUACAUCCAUGUGAGUGUGGAUGUAUUCACGAGGACGUCAUACUUUUUCACGUCAGUCAACCUUUUUUAUAUGGGCGUCAGUAAAGUCCAGCGGAAAUAGUUCCGUCAGAAAAGACCAUCGUUGAUUCUUCUUAAGGAGCCACUCAAUUUUCUCGUGCUUUGAUUGUCACCUCCUGCAUCCUGAUGAGUUGAUUGUAAAGGAUAUCCAAGGAUUCUCACUCAUUUAACUGAUUCAAACACUUUUGCUGAAAGGGUGGGUGGUGAUUAUGUUAAUCUUGAUGGAUGCUAUGCAGAUUCUUCUGAAAUGGAUAAAUCAGGUAACCCUGAAUUUGGAACUCUUUUGAAUCUGACUGGUAACCCAUAGUGCGUACUUCUGUAGUUGGCCGGAUUAUCAGCUUCAACUAGUGGCUAUAAAGCAACCCCGAUAUUAGACCUGUUUGUAACCUUUGGCGAAACUUUGACGACAUCGAUGAUUCGUGGGUUAGUGUGUCAAGCAUUGAUUAUUAUGGUGAUAACCAAGAUAGGUUUGAUCCCGGUUGCUGGAAUAUGGUAAUAAUUACCGUUAGUUGGGUGAUCUAGCCAGAGAGGGAGUUCUGGUAGAUCCGAAGCCAAGAUUGUUGACUUGUCACGACUUUACCGUUCUUGAGUUUAUUCCUCCCAAGAACUUACAUUUGAAUUUUCUUUGAGUAAAGUAUUCUAUGUACGAAGCUUAGUCCAUGAUUUAGGAAUUGUUUUAAACAGCUGUGCUUACCUCGACACGCCGGAGAGAACUCGCCAAGGUCCGUUUGAAACUCAGCACUGUCUUACGGAAGAACAAUGCACGGCUACCGGUAUCCGCAAAAAUUUUUUUUAGAUGCAACAGGUUACACGCAAGUAUCUAGAUACUCAAAUGGAAAACUAUCGUUCAAGGAAAUCCCUUCAAAGUCAAAAUCAAAAUGUUGUCAAACGAAAGUAUUUUGAAUCUAGUAUAGGACUAUAUUUACUAAAAAGUAUGAUCAAUGGGAUUAAAUCUAAAUAAAUUGCAAAGUUUUUCUCCCGU
This 1468-nucleotide long non-coding RNA is filed under the name Daphnia pulicaria. Its description in RNAcentral is "uncharacterized LOC124320576, transcript variant X4". Lineage: Eukaryota; Metazoa; Arthropoda; Branchiopoda; Diplostraca; Daphniidae. The record is from RNAcentral.